This 228-nucleotide unclassified non-coding RNA is filed under the name Hevea brasiliensis (rubber tree). The record is from RNAcentral. Lineage: Eukaryota; Viridiplantae; Streptophyta; Magnoliopsida; Malpighiales; Euphorbiaceae.
AAAAAAAGAAACAAGUAAAAGGUGUUUGAGGGAAUUAAAAAAUGUCCUAGCUAGGGAAAGGCAAAGGCAAUCUCAGGAACUUGAAGAAGAGCAGAAAACAGAAGAAAAGGAAUAACANNNNNNGGAAUUAGAUUUUGGAGCAAACUGAAAUGGAAAUUGUUAUAUGGGAAUUGAAGAAGGAGAAAACUGAAGGUAAAGGGCAUGGGAGAAUUGCAAAUGGCGGGAGAU